RNAcentral lists this ribosomal RNA (255 nucleotides) under uncultured bacterium. RNAcentral's name for it is "partial 16S ribosomal RNA". It matches the Rfam family "Bacterial small subunit ribosomal RNA", at positions 524 to 776 of the family's 1533-position model. The record is from RNAcentral.
UACGUAGGGUGCGAGCGUUGUCCGGAAUUAUUGGGCGUAAAGGGCUCGUAGGCGGUUUGUCACGUCAGGAGUGAAAACUCGGGGCUCAACCCCGAGCCUGCUUCUGAUACGGGCAGACUAGAGGUAUGCAGGGGGAGAACGGAAUUCCUGGUGUAGCGGUGAAAAUGCGCAGAUAUCAGGAGGAACACCGGUGGCGAAGGCGGUUCUCUGGGCAUUACCUGACGCUGAGGAGCGAAAGUGUGGGGAGCGAACAGG